This is a small nuclear RNA of Cavia porcellus (domestic guinea pig), 140 nucleotides long. Its record names the gene U4. It matches the Rfam family "U4 spliceosomal RNA". From Rfam's summary of the family: U4 small nuclear RNA (U4 snRNA) is a component of the major U2-dependent spliceosome. The structure of U4 snRNA from yeast and human has been reported. NCBI's taxonomy places the organism in Eukaryota, Metazoa, Chordata, Mammalia, Rodentia, Caviidae. The record is from Ensembl.
AGCUUUGUGCAGUGACAUUAGCAUAGCCAAUGAGAUUUAUCCAAGUUGUGAUUAUUGCUAAUUGAAAACUUUUCCCAAUACUCUGUCAUGACGACUUGAAAUAAGUCGGCAUUGGCAAUUUUUAACAGUUUCUUUGGAGA